RNAcentral lists this ribosomal RNA (460 nucleotides) under uncultured bacterium. RNAcentral's name for it is "partial 16S ribosomal RNA". It matches the Rfam family "Bacterial small subunit ribosomal RNA", at positions 338 to 795 of the family's 1533-position model. The record is from RNAcentral.
CCUACGGGAGGCAGCAGUGAGGAAUAUUGGUCAAUGGACGCAAGUCUGAACCAGCCAUGCCGCGUGCAGGAAGACUGCUCUAUGAGUUGUAAACUGCUUUUGUACGAGGGUAAACUCAGAUACGUGUAUCUGUCUGAAAGUAUCGUACGAAUAAGGAUCGGCUAACUCCGUGCCAGCAGCCGCGGUAAUACGGAGGAUUCAAGCGUUAUCCGGAUUUAUUGGGUUUAAAGGGUGCGUAGGUGGUCGGAUAAGUUAGAGGUGAAAUCGCGCGGCUCAACUUCGGAAUUGCAUCUGAUACUGUUAGGCUAGAGAGUAGUUGAGGUAGGCGGAAUGUAUGGUGUAGCGGUGAAAUGCUUAGAGAUCACACAGAACACCGAUUGCGAAGGCAGCUUACUAAGCUACUUCUGACGUUGAGGCACGAAAGCGUGGGGAGCAAACAGGAUUAGAUACCCCAGUAGUC